UUUUUAAAAAAUGUCUUAAUUUUAGAUUAAUAAUUUUAGAGUUUUAAAAAAAUCCACUUGAAGACUCUUCAAGUUUUUGAGAGUAUGGCUAUAGAGGGUAAGAACUGCCUUAGUGGUUCUUAUACUUAUCCUCCAAUUGAUCUAUUACACCUUAGUUUCGGUCUCUUCUUGAAGUGACCAAUAUAUGCAUCAAAAUGCAUACUCGCAAUUAUCUCUUUUCCAAUCUCUCUUCUAAUUUCAAAAUCCUCUACUCUAAUUUCUUUUUCUUGUUUUAUUUUAUUUUAUUUUAUUUUUUCUUCUUCUAACAAGUUACUUCUAAUGUUCUAGUUACUAAAUCCUAGCUUGCACUCUAUCUCCACUCUCCAAAUGUUAAAGUAGAUCUCUUAGAUUUUUUUUAAAUUCUAUUUUUCUUAAUCAAAAU
RNAcentral lists this long non-coding RNA (421 nucleotides) under Physcomitrium patens. RNAcentral describes it as "long non-coding RNA (PPAT_LNC003627)". The record is from RNAcentral. Lineage: Eukaryota; Viridiplantae; Streptophyta; Bryopsida; Funariales; Funariaceae.